UUGGCAACACCUUGACAGACACACCCAGA
This 29-nucleotide non-coding RNA is filed under the name Homo sapiens (human). The record is from RNAcentral. Lineage: Eukaryota; Metazoa; Chordata; Mammalia; Primates; Hominidae.